UACGAAGGGUGCAAACGUUGCUCGGAAUUAUUGGGCGUAAAGAGCUCGUAGGCGGUCUGUCACGUCGGCUGUGAAAACCCGGGGCUCAACCCCGGGCCUGCAGUCGAUACGGGCAGACUAGAGUGCGGUAGGGGAGACUGGAAUUCCUGGUGUAGCGGUGAAAUGCGCAGAUAUCAGGAGGAACACCGAUGGCGAAGGCAGAUCUCUGGGCCGUAACUGACGCUGAGGAGCGAAAGCGUGGGGAGCGAACAGG
Molecule: ribosomal RNA, 253 nt
Filed under: uncultured bacterium
Lineage: Bacteria
Description: partial 16S ribosomal RNA
Rfam family: Bacterial small subunit ribosomal RNA
Source: RNAcentral